Long non-coding RNA from Anopheles funestus (African malaria mosquito), 3080 nucleotides. RefSeq lists it as uncharacterized. The record is from RefSeq and is a predicted model, not a curated record. The transcript is spliced from 2 exons. NCBI's taxonomy places the organism in Eukaryota, Metazoa, Arthropoda, Insecta, Diptera, Culicidae.
CAGUGUGUUGAAGGUGUCAUGUCGGAAGAUGAAUCCGUUCGGCCCGCUUACUCGCUGCGGGGUGGUGCCGCGUACGACACAAAGUUGACAAGCACUGACAGCAUCCGAAAUACCCGGGGUUAAGUUCGAGAACCGGUUCGGCGAAAAAGCAGAAAAAUGGAGGAAUGAGCCACAAUGGUUGUCGAACCGUUUCGAAAAGUGACCAGGGUUGUACGUCGAGGGUUUAAUUUUAGCUACUAGCUCCCGCGUUUAGCGUUCGUUCCCGAUUUUCUCACCGGAGCAGAGCCACUGCCAUGAGCGUGUGGAUGAGAGCGAGCGUGAGUGACCCUUAUUAAUUAUUUUCGGCAUUUCUUAAAAUAUCUAUCCACUGGUGAGCGGUUGAUGGUUGAUAGUGCGCAUGUGCCGAGUGGGACGACAUUAGGCCUCAAAAGUGCGGACACCGGGCGCUCUCUUUUCAACCGAUCGUACACUUUAGUCGACAUAGUGUGGUUAGCUCGAUUGGACGGUUUGCGAACCGGUUCGGUCCAGGCAGGGCAAGGGCUUCAGAAGCCUGGAUCGUACAGUUAAAGUAUACAGGGGGAGGGCGGGAUGAUAGACAAAAACACCGGAAGACAGCGGAAAUUAGAGGCGCGUAGAGUUUAGAAUUAAUUGAGUUCGGGGAGUUUCUAAUCGCGUGGCGUUUCGACUCGUUUCCUGGCGUCGUGCGGUGUGGUUGUGUAGUCCAUCGUGUAAUCCGUGUGUGCCUGUGUAGGAGGUGACGCGCAUGACAUGUUUGUCAACACCGUUGUCCUGCAGAGUGAAGUCUUUUUCUUUAAAUAUUCAAAAAAUUUUGUGUCACCUGGUGUCGGCUUUCGGGACUUCCUGGUUUCCAUCAGUCGGUUCGAAUUAGUGAACAAAGCAAAGGGAAAAUGGAAUAGCGGUUCGGGAUAAUUGGAAGGAAUCAGUACCAUUUAAACGAAAUGAGCGUGUGUUUUUUUUUGUUUGAUUUCUUUUGUUAUACAUGUAUUGCUCUCCAGUUCGGUUUUAUUGCUUACUUACAAAACGUAUAAAAACAUACAUAUAAUUAGUCUCUGAUCGCGCAGUAUAGUGACGAAUUGGGAACGGGGAAGGAAGGACAAAAUCGAUUUGUUAAAGGCGCGAUUAAUAAUCUUAUGUGGAACACAUACACCCUACUCUGCCCGCUGUGUACGAGACUAAGCAUAUUAAAUUGUCCUUGCUCGAGACUACCAACUACCGAACGUCAGCGACAAAGACACCUAUCUGUUGAAAGCGUAACAACAACCAAGUGAUCAGUGAUAUAAGCGGGUAAUAGCGGAAGGAGCUUCCAACUGCAUGCAGCUGUCAGGCGUUGCAGCACGGGCGUUAAUGGCGGCACACAAGAUCCUACAUGUCUGCCACAGGUUGACAAGAUAAGUAUACCUCUUUCAUAAGCAUGUAUUGUUACCAAACAAAUUGCUGCAGCGUUAAUUUAUUGUCACGGCUCGAGUAAACGGUCUCCUUGCAAGAAACCUGAACCGCUUGAAGCACACAAAAUCUAUUACAUUGGGCGCCAGGGCAAAGAGUUUGAAGCCGUGUUGCACGCUUUGACUUUCGUAGAACAUUCGGGGUCAUUCGCCCGGUUAUACGCGGUCAAGAAGUGUAGCACACACACGGUAGCGAUAUCACACAAGCAGGAAAGGGAGCGGGUUAAAGGACGUCAACAUUUUGUAACAAAAACAAAAAAGCAAAAAGGAACAAAAGUCACAACUAUUUUUAGCGAUUUUUUAAAACACAAAAGAAAUUUGGCCUUUUGUAUUGUUGUUUUCUUUGUUGUGUUGAUGUUGUUGUUGAUGUCAUAAACAAGCGCGCGAAGUACGCAUCCCAACUGCAACCAUCUUGAGGACGCUGCAGCAAUUCAGUUUCGGUAGCGGUUGCCUAAAGUUUAUUUCUUACUAACGCUGAGAAUUCCGUUUUGUUUUUUGAACAGGAUACAGGUGAUGGCAAGUUGGCGCCAAUCGGACGAGAGGAGGCCCUGAAGAAUAUUGCAGAUUGCAGAUCGUUAACUACUACCUCCCUAAUCAACGUUUGCUGCCGUCCACAGAGAUCAGAUAUCAGAGCAAGUGCAUACAUUAUCGGGAACGCAAGUCUACAAACAUCAAUCCUGAACAACAGAUAGAACGAUCCGGAUAGGCGUGACAACAAUAGCACACGGCACGUCAUCGUCCAAAAACAAGCCUUAGAAACUCGACCUCAAGUACACGCGUGGGUAGCAUCAUUGACUCAACAAAGGAAAUGACUCAACGGCUGACGAUCGGGAUAUGCUUACUAAGUAACGCGAUGAUUCAGCCCGACUGACCGAUCGAGAUUCCGGAAAAAAUUCUAGAAAUCCUUGAAUAUCCCCAAGUCAUCCCCAAGACCUGCUCAACAGUUUUGUUUUUACAACCGGAGUCGGAACAAAUUGAACAUUACGAUCGACUUCUGGUACUGUGAAGAUCGAACCAAAUGCUACCCUUAUAAAUCUUGAACGAGAUCAAGUACGAUGCCUAUCUUUCGAUACACGCUCCAUACCGUGCAGUGUCCAUGUUGUAUUCGUUUCUUUUCCUUGUUAUGUUCAGUGCCCGAUUCGAACGAUCAUACCUCUCGAGCGGCUUUACUUGUUUGCAUCCCUGCUUGUCAGUACCCUUCGGAAGCGAGGGGUUUUGUGCUAACGAAAUCUAUUUUAGUAAUGAAAUCUUUAUUGCUAAUUAUUCAGCUCGAAGAAGCACUAGACGCCACACAAAGUUUGAAGCAAUUUGAAGAGGGGGGGGUUACAUAAUUGUUUCCUGCACGCUAUCCUUCUUCAUCCUUCCUGAACUUCUGCUCCAAUUUCCAACUUCUGUACGCCAUGGCGGUGGCUGUUAUUAUGCGAUAAAAAUGAACCUUUUCUACCUUUUUGGCUAAUAACUAACUGCACCUUCCACCGUAAUGAUAUCGAUCGCUUCAAGGUAAGUAAUAAUAGUAAUAAAUCUCAUGUUGUUCUGGUUUUUAUCUUUCAUACGCAAUAAAGUAAACUACCGUACUGUGAAAGUAAACUGCCAUCACAUACCAACGAACAAAAAAAA